AGCAGCCGCGGUAAUUCCAGCUCCAAUAGCGUAUAUUAAAGUUGUUGCAGUUAAAAAGCUCGUAGUUGAAUUUCGGGACCAAUAUGUCGGUCGUGCCUCGGUACGCACUGGCUUAUUGGUUUCUCCUUUCUGAAGAACCAUGAUGUCAUUCAUUUGGUGUCGUGGGGAAUCAGGACUGUUACUUUGAAAAAAUUAGAGUGUUUAAAGCAGGCUCACGCUUGAAUACAUUAGCAUGGAAUAAUGAAAUAGGACGUUUGAUUCUAUUUUGUUGGUUUCUAGGAUCGACGUAAUGAUUAAUAGGGAUAGUUGGGGGCAUUAGUAUUCAAUUGUCAGAGGUGAAAUUCUUGGAUUUAUUGAAGACUAACUACUGCGAAAGCAUUUGCCAAGGAUGUUUUCAUUAAUCAAGAACGAAAGUUAGGGGAUCGAAGACGAUCAGAUACCGUCGUAGUC
Molecule: ribosomal RNA, 450 nt
Filed under: uncultured Glomus
Lineage: Eukaryota; Fungi; Glomeromycota; Glomeromycetes; Glomerales; Glomeraceae
Also listed under: 1 other name
Description: SSU rRNA
Rfam family: Eukaryotic small subunit ribosomal RNA
Source: RNAcentral